CGCAGAAAAUAUCCCGGAGUGGGAACUGGCACAACCCAGCCAUACACUGAUAUCAGAAAACCUGCCAGAUGUUGGCUAGAGCAUGAGGGACAAAGACUUGGAAUAACUGCAUAAUAGUACAUGGCCAGGUAUAUUCAGGUGUAUAUGGUGAGGUGGGAUUUGUGUUCUGUAGAUGAAGAUGAGGAAACCCUGGAGAGGUAAAGUAUGGAGCGUCUGUUAUACCCAAAACUUUCAUCUGACAGAUGAAAAAAAGCAUCUAUGGCUUGGAAGAAACACCCAAGAUGUG
RNAcentral lists this long non-coding RNA (286 nucleotides) under Anser brachyrhynchus (Pink-footed goose). RNAcentral describes it as "lncRNA (ENSABRG00000008186.1)". The record is from RNAcentral. Lineage: Eukaryota; Metazoa; Chordata; Aves; Anseriformes; Anatidae.